Molecule: ribosomal RNA, 519 nt
Filed under: Paractinolaimus sp.
Lineage: Eukaryota; Metazoa; Nematoda; Enoplea; Dorylaimida; Actinolaimidae
Description: partial large subunit ribosomal RNA
Rfam family: Eukaryotic large subunit ribosomal RNA
Source: RNAcentral
CCUAUCUGUCGGGUUUUUGGCUUCGGAAUAUCCCUCGAAUGGGAACCCGUAGCAGGUGCGAGGCCUGUAACGAGGCGAUACCCGUCAGUUUGAGCCUCCAUAGAGUCGGGUUACUUGAGAGUGUAGCCCAAAGCGGAAGGUAAACCCCUUCUAAAACUAAAUAUUACCACGAGACCGAUAGCGAACAAGUACCGCGAGGGAAAGUUGAAAAGAACUUUGAAGAGAGAGUUCAAAAGGGCGUGAAACCGCUUAGAAGAAAACGGACGGAGCCGUCAGGGGCCUUCGGGAAUCAGUCUUACGAUGCGCGAAGGUGCAACGGUUCGGAGCGCAAGUCCGACCGUGGUAUAGUUAGCGUUCGUUAGGCGCAUUUCUCGAGGGUAAGCACUGCGACCGAUACGAAAGGCCAAUGAAGCGCUCGGAUUGAGGGCGAGACCUCUCGCGGGGUCUCGUAACCAGUCCUUGCGUACUUAUCAUUGGAUCGCAGUAUGUAUCGAGAGCCAAAGUUUGAUUAUAUGUCGG